RNAcentral lists this ribosomal RNA (339 nucleotides) under uncultured soil bacterium. RNAcentral describes it as "bacterial SSU rRNA". It matches the Rfam family "Bacterial small subunit ribosomal RNA", at positions 26 to 359 of the family's 1533-position model. The record is from RNAcentral.
AGGACGAACGCUGGCGGCGUGCUUAAAACAUGCAAGUCGAACGAGGUCCAUGGGUUCGCAAGAACCCGGAAGACCUAGUGGCGAACGGGUGCGUAACACGUGAGGAACCUGCCCCAGAGACCGGGAUAACCCCUCGAAAGAGGAGCUAAUACCGGAUGUGCUCAUCGGAUCACCUGGUCUGAUGAGGAAAUGGAUUCCGCUCUGGGAUGGCCUCGCGGCCUAUCAGCUUGUUGGUGGGUAAUGGCCUACCAAGGCGACGACGGGUAGCUGGUCUGAGAGGACGAUCAGCCACACUGGGACUGAGACACGGCCCAGACUCCUACGGGAGCAGCAGUUAGG